This 285-nucleotide unclassified non-coding RNA is filed under the name uncultured fungus. RNAcentral's name for it is "sequence contains ITS1". The record is from RNAcentral. Lineage: Eukaryota; Fungi.
GUAUAUUAACUUUAUAGGUACAAAAUGACCUGAUUCAACAUUCUAAACAGACUCAGAGGUUUGUGAUAAAUGACAUAGACCUGAAAAAUACAAGGGAAAGCCGACUUGAGAAAGCACAGCAGUCCCCAACUCGAAAAUAAAUCCAUCAAAUAUCAAGGUCUACAAUUAUGUGCACAGUUGGAGAAAUAAAGAUGACAAGCGUGCACAUAUCCCUCCAAGGAGGGCCAGCAACAGCCUGUUCAAGUUUAUUCAAUAAUGAUCCUUCCGCAGGUUCACCUACGGAAA